Magallana angulata is the source of this 560-nucleotide long non-coding RNA. RefSeq lists it as uncharacterized. The record is from RefSeq and is a predicted model, not a curated record. Lineage: Eukaryota; Metazoa; Mollusca; Bivalvia; Ostreida; Ostreidae. The transcript is spliced from 3 exons.
CCGGCGAGAAGUUGUGAUUGUAAAAAUCGGGCACAAGGUUGUUGAAAACGAAAAUACAGAUCGUUUUAGAACGUUUGCAGCUUAUAUACUGUGAAGAGGAACAAGAACAUCUGGACAAAACAUGGACCUUAUGAGUAUGGCUUUGUACAUGUUGUCAUGGCUACUUAACAUCGUAUUUCUGAGAUUUGGCUUGGUGAAAUUAACUUCCUUUUUAUUUCCCAAAGUUAACCAACUAACGAGACGAAAUUACGAAGACUAUGCCACUGUGUUUCCCACUGCUUUAUUCGGAUACCAACCAUCACCAGAUAGAUACAUGUUUCUGAUCGGAGUUAUAGAGACGCUUGCCUCUUUCUUGCUUUUGCUGCCUUAUUCUGAUUUACAAAACUGGAUUUAUUUAGUAAUCUGUGUCAGGAUGGCGCUUGCAAUAUACACACAUGAUGUUCUAGAAGAAUACGUAAAAAUGACAUUUGCUAUUUGUCUUUUUCUAGCAAGUGUUGUGUUAUAUAAAGUAGGCCCUAUCGCCUUAACAAAACAGGAAUAAAAACGUACUUUAAAAAAAA